This is a long non-coding RNA of Xenia sp. Carnegie-2017, 729 nucleotides long. RefSeq lists it as uncharacterized. The transcript has 4 exons. Lineage: Eukaryota; Metazoa; Cnidaria; Anthozoa; Malacalcyonacea; Xeniidae. The record is from RefSeq and is a predicted model, not a curated record.
AUUUGGUCGUAAUGCUCGCUUCUACAUAUGUGUUUGCGCUUCACUUAAGUUGCGCGACCAAAGCGACUACACAGUUCAUGUGUUUCAGCCUUUUCCCAUUGACGUUUGUCUGAUGUUACAGACUCUUCAAACAGCUGUUGUUACAGCUAUUCAAAAGUUGUAUUUUGUGCAAGAAAUCAGUGUUAAAAGUUGCGAUGAUUAAUUUCAAAUACGCGCUAUGUCGUUUUGAGGAGAACAUUAAAAAAAUUUCAAAGAAAUAUCUUGCGUCUCAACGGACCCGACGCCAAAAACGCUGUUAAAUGCUCGUGAGCCUGAGUGAAAUUUUAGGUUUUAUGCAAAAAAAGCACGGAAAUUUCCGAAAAGUGAGACAAAGCUUUAUUAUGAAGAUUGUACAUCAAAACUCAAGCCGUCCAAGAUCUUCUGACCUUCCAUGUAACUGAAGUGAACGUCUUCAAACCGCACAUGCGCAUUUGGAUCGCCAGGUUUGAGAAUCAGAGGAAAAGAAUUCUCUUUUUCCUAUUAAUGAAUACGUAAGUUUUAAAAAAAAUUAAUAAAUUAGUUGUCAUUUCUUUAAUUAGUUUGAAUCUGGCUUCGAUAUUCGUAUCAAUUUAUUCACAAAUUGUCUACAAUGUUGUUAUGUUAAACUCAUUCGAAUAAAAGCCGCAGCGGUAAAAGCGGCGUUUAUUAGAGACAUAUAUAAAUUGUAAUUGUAAUUUAAAAGUCAAAGCA